AACGAACGCUGGCGGCAUGCCUAACACAUGCAAGUCGAACGAGACCUUCGGGUCUAGUGGCGCACGGGUGCGUAACGCGUGGGAACCUGCCCUUAGGUUCGGAAUAACUCCCCGAAAGGGGUGCUAAUACCGGAUAAUGUCUUCGGACCAAAGAUUUAUCGCCUUUGGAUGGGCCCGCGUUGGAUUAGCUAGUUGGUAGGGUAAAAGCCUACCAAGGCGACGAUCCAUAGCUGGUCUGAGAGGAUGAUCAGCCACACUGGGACUGAGACACGGCCCAGACUCCUACGGAAGGCAGCAGUGGGGAAUAUUGGACAAUGGGCGAAAGCCUGAUCAAGCAAUGCCGCGUGAGUGAUGAAGGCCUUAGGGUUGUAAAGCUCUUUUACCCGGGAUGAUAAUGACAGUACCGGGAGAAUAAGCUCCGGCUAACUCCGUG
RNAcentral lists this ribosomal RNA (433 nucleotides) under uncultured bacterium. RNAcentral describes it as "partial 16S ribosomal RNA". It matches the Rfam family "Bacterial small subunit ribosomal RNA", at positions 29 to 507 of the family's 1533-position model. The record is from RNAcentral.